RNAcentral lists this transfer RNA (69 nucleotides) under Marmota monax (woodchuck). Its description in RNAcentral is "tRNA.Ala". Lineage: Eukaryota; Metazoa; Chordata; Mammalia; Rodentia; Sciuridae. The record is from RNAcentral.
GGUGUGUAACUCGGUGGUAGAGCGCUAGCCUAGCAUGCGUGAGGUCGUGGGUUCCAUCCUCAGCACCCG